RNAcentral lists this ribosomal RNA (380 nucleotides) under uncultured eukaryote. Its description in RNAcentral is "SSU rRNA". It matches the Rfam family "Eukaryotic small subunit ribosomal RNA", at positions 588 to 972 of the family's 1831-position model. The record is from RNAcentral.
GCUCCAAUAGCGUAUAUUAAAUUUGUUGCGGUUAAGAAGCUCGUAGUUGGAUUUCUGCCGAGGACGACCGGUCCGCCCUCUGGGUGAGUAUCUGGCUCGGCCUGGGCAUCUUCUUGAAGAACGUAGCUGCACUUGAUUGUGUGGUGCGGUAUCCAGGACUUUUACUUUGAGGAGAUUAGAAUGUUUCAAGCAGGCAUACGCCUUGAAUACAUUGGCAUGGAAUAAUAAGAUAGGACCUCGGUUCUAUUUUGUUGGUUUCUAGAGCUGAGGUAAUGAUUAAUAGGGAUAGUUGGGUGCGUUCGUAUUUGACUGUCAGAGGUGAAAUUCUUGGAUUUGGUAAAGACGGACUACUGCGAAAGGAUUUGCCAAGGAUGCUUUCA